GACGAACGCUGGCGGCGUGCUUAACACAUGCAAGUCGAGCGGUAAGGCCCUUUCGGGGGUACACGAGCGGCGAACGGGUGAGUAACACGUGGGUGACCUGCCCUCAGCUCUGGGAUAAGCCCGGGAAACUGGGUCUAAUACCGGAUAUGACUCCAUGACGCACGUUGUGGGGUGGAAAGCCUUGUGCGGCUGAGGAUGGGCCCGCGGCCUAUCAGCUUGUUGGUGGGGUGAUGGCCACCAAGGCGACGACGGGUAGCCGGCCUGAGAGGGCGACCGGCCACACUGGGACUGAGACACGGCCCAGACUCCUACGGGAGGCAGCAGUGGGGAAUCUUGCGCAAUGGGCGAAAGCCUGACGCAGCGACGCCGCGUGA
Molecule: ribosomal RNA, 374 nt
Filed under: uncultured bacterium
Lineage: Bacteria
Description: bacterial SSU rRNA
Rfam family: Bacterial small subunit ribosomal RNA
Source: RNAcentral